Molecule: transfer RNA, 63 nt
Filed under: Sphingomonas sp. Leaf62
Lineage: Bacteria; Pseudomonadati; Pseudomonadota; Alphaproteobacteria; Sphingomonadales; Sphingomonadaceae
Description: tRNA-Lys
Rfam family: tRNA
About the family: Transfer RNA (tRNA) molecules are approximately 80 nucleotides in length.
Source: RNAcentral
GGACGCAUAGCUCAGUUGGUAGAGCAGCUGACUCUUAAUCAGCGGGUCCUUGGUUCGAGCCCA